This 72-nucleotide transfer RNA is filed under the name Caldora sp. SIO3E6. Its description in RNAcentral is "tRNA-Thr". It matches the Rfam family "tRNA". From Rfam's summary of the family: Transfer RNA (tRNA) molecules are approximately 80 nucleotides in length. Their secondary structure includes four short double-helical elements and three loops (D, anti-codon, and T loops). Lineage: Bacteria; Bacillati; Cyanobacteriota; Cyanophyceae; Coleofasciculales; Coleofasciculaceae. The record is from RNAcentral.
GCAGGUGUGAUGUAACUAGCAACAUGGGGCUCUUGUAAAGCCUUCUUGCGAGUGCAAAUCUCGCCACCUGCU